GACCUUCGGGGGCUGAUUUUUGGGCGCGGGUGUGCCCGUGGCCUAUUUUUGGCACACGGAGGCCGCCCGCAAAGUCUGGGGCCAUUCCGAGUCCGGAGGACGAACUUCGCCCACGCCCCCCACCAAGGCUAUAGCCCACCCGUUUUUUGGCCAUUUUUCCGCUGGAGGGUCUUGGCGCCCCGACCUUCGGGGGCUGAUCUUUGGGCGCGGGUGUGCCCGUGGCCUAUUUUUGGCACACGGAGGCCGCCCGCAAAGUCUGGGGCCAUUCCGAGUCCGGCGGACGAACUUCGCCCACGCCCCCCACCAAGGCUAUAGCCCACCCGUUUUUUGGCCAUUUUUCCGCUGGGGGGUCUUGGCUCCCCGACCUUCGGGGGCUGAUUUUUGGGCGCGGGUGUGCCCGUGGCCUAUUUUUGGCACACGGAGGCCGCCCGCAAAGUCUGGGGCCAUUCCGAGUCCGGCGGACGAACUUCGCCCACGCCCCCCACCAAGCUAUAGCCCACCCGUUUUUUGCCAUUUUUCCGCUGGGGGGUCUUGGCGCCCCGACCUUCGGGGGCUGAAUUUUGGGCGCGGGUGUGCCCGUGGCCUAUUUUUGGCACACGGAGGCCGCCCGCAAAGUCUGGGGCCAUUCCGAGUCCGGCGGACGAACUUCGCCCACGCCCCCCACCAAGGCUAUAGCCCACCCGUUUUUUGGCCAUUUUUCCGCUGGGGGGUCUUGGCGCCCCGACCUUCGUGGGCUGAAUUUUGGGCGCGGGUGUGCCCGUGGCCUAUUUUUUGCACACGGAGGCCUUCCGCAAAGUCUGGGGCCAUUCCGAGUCCCGCGGACGAACUUCGCCCACGCCCCCCACCAAGGCUAUAGCCCACCCGUUUUUUGGCCAUUUUUCCGCUGGGGGGUCUUGGCGCCCCGACCUUCGGGGGCUGAAUUUUGGGCGCGGGUGUGCCCGUGGCCUAUUUUUGGCACACGGAGGCCGCCCGCAAAGUCUGGGGCCAUUCCGAGUCCGGCGGGCGAACUUCGCCCACGCCCCCCACCAAGGCUAUAGCCCACCCGUUUUUUGGCCAUUUUUCCGCUGGGGGGUCUUGGCGCCCCGACCUUCGGGGGCUGAAUUUUGGGCGCGGGUGUGCCCGUGGCCUAUUUUUGGCACACGGAGGCCGCCCGCAAAGUCUGGAGCCAUUCCGAGUCCGGCGGACAAACUUCGCCCACGUCCCCCACCAAGGCUAUAGCCCACCCGUUUUUUGGCCAUUUUUCCGCUGGGGGGUCUUGGCGCCCCGACCUUCGGGGGCUGAAUUUUGGGCGCGGGUGUGCCCGUGGCCUAUUUUUGGCACACGGAGGCCGCCCGCAAAGUCUGGGGCCAUUCCGAGUCCGGCGGACGAACUUCGCCCACGCCCCCCACCAAGGCUAUAGCCCACCCGUUUUUUGGCCAUUUUUCCGCUAGGGGGUCUUGGCGCCCCGACCUUCGGGGGCUGAUUUUUGGGCGCGGGUGUGCCCGUGGCCUAUUUUUGGCACACGGAGGCCGCCCGCAAAGUCUGGGGCCAUUCCGAGUCCGGCGGACGAACUUCGCCCACGCCCCCCACCAAGGCUAUAGCCCACCCGUUUUUUGGCCAUUUUUCCGCUGGGGGGUCUUGGCGCCCCGACCUUCGGGGGCUGAUUUUUGGGCGCGGGUGUGCCCGUGGCCUAUUUUUGGCACACGGAGGCCGCCCGCAAAGUCUGGGGCCAUUCCGAGUCCGGCGGACGAACUUCGCCCACGCCCCCCACCAAGGCUAUAGCCCACCCGUUUUUUGGCCAUUUUUCCGCUGGGGGGUCUUGGCUCCCCGACCUUCGGGGGCUGAUUUUUGGGCGCGGGUGUGCCCGUGGCCUAUUUUUGGCACACGGAGGCCGCCCGCAAAGUCUGGGGCCAUUCCGAGUCCGGCGGACGAACUUCGCCCACGCCCCCCACCAAGGCUAUAGCCCACCCGUUUUUUGGCCAUUUUUCCGCUGGGGGGUCUUGGCGCCCCGACCUUCGGGGGCUGAUUUUUGGGCGCGGGUGUGCCCGUGGCCUAUUUUUGGCACACGGAGGCCGCCCGCAAAGUCUGGGGCCAUUCCGAGUCCGGCGGACGAACUUCGCCCACGCCCCGCACCAAGGCUAUAGCCCACCCGUUUUUUGGCCAUUUUUCCGCUGGGGGGUCUUGGCGCCCCGACCUUCGGGGGCUGAAUUUUGGGCGCGGGUGUGCCCGUGGCCUAUUUUUGGCACACGGAGGCCGCCCGCAAAGUCUGGGGCCAUUCCGAGUCCGGCGGACGAACUUCGCCCACGCCCCCCACCAAGGCUAUAGCCCACCCGUUUUUUGGCCAUUUUUCCGCUGGGGGGUCUUGGCGCCCCGACCUUCGGGGGCUGAUUUUUGGGCGCGGCUGUGCCCGUGGCCUAUUUUUGGCACACGGAGGCCGCCCGCAAAGUCUGGGGCCAUUCCGAGUCCGGCGGACGAACUUCGCCCACCACCCCCACCAAGGCUAUAGCCCACCCGUUUUUUGGCCAUUUAUCCGCUGGGGGGUCUUGGCGCCCCGACCUUCGGGGGCUGAAUUUUGGGCGCGGGUGUGCCCGUGGCCUAUUUUUGGCACACGGAGGCCGCCCGCAAAGUCUGGGGCCAUUCCGAGUCCGGCGGACGAACUUCGCCCACGCCCCCCACCAAGGCUAUAGCCCACCCGUUUUUUGGCCAUUUUUCCGCUGGGGGGUCUUGGCGCCCCGACCUUCGGGGGCUGAUUUUUGGGCGCGGGUGUGCCCGUGGCCUAUUUUUGGCACACGGAGGCCGCCCGCAAAGUCUGGGGCCAUUCCGAGUCCGGCGGACGAACUUCGCCCACGCCCCCCACCAAGGCUAUAGCCCACCCGUUUUUUGGCCAUUUUUCCGCUGGGGGGUCUUGGCUCCCCGACCUUCGGGGGCUGAUUUUUGGGCGCGGGUGUGCCCGUGGCCUAUUUUUGGCACACGGAGGCCGCCCGCAAAGUCUGGGGCCAUUCCGAGUCCGGCGGACGAACUUCGCCCACGCCCCCCACCAAGGCUAUAGCCCACCCGUUUUUUGGCCAUUUUUCCGCUGGGGGGUCUUGGCGCCCCGACCUUCGGGGGCUGAAUUUUGGGCGCGGGUGUGCCCGUGGCCUAUUUUUUGCACACGGAGGCCGCCCGCAAAGUCUGGGGCCAUUCCGAGUCCGGCGGACGAACUUCGCCCACGCCCCCCACCAAGGCUAUAGCCCACCCGUUUUUUGGCCAUUUUUCCGCUGGGGGGUCUUGGCGCCCCGACCUUCGGGGGCUGAAUUUUGGGCGCGGGUGUGCCCGUGGCCUAUUUUUGGCACACGGAGGCCGCCCGCAAAGUCUGGGGCCAUUCCGAGUCCGGCGGACGAACUUCGCCCACGCCCCCCACCAAGGCUAUAGCCCACCCGUUUUUUGGCCAUUUUUCCGCUGGGGGGUCUUGGCGCCCCGACCUUCAGGGGCUGAUUUUUGGGCGCGGGUGUGCCCGUGGCCUAUUUUUGGCAAACGGAGGCCGCCCGCAGAGUCUGGGGCCAUUCCGAGUCCGGCGGACGAGCUUCGCCCACGCCCCCCACCAAGGCUAUAGCCCACCCGUUUUUUGGCCAUUUUUCCGCUGGGGGGUCUUGGCGCCCCGACCUUCGGGGGCUGAUUUUUGGGCGCGGGUGUGCCCGUGGCCUAUUUUUGGCACACGGAGGCCGCCCGCAAAGUCUGGGGCCAUUCCGAGUCCGGCGGACGAACUUCGCCCACGCCCCCCACCAAGGCUAUAGCCCACCCGUUUUUUGGCCAUUUUUCCGCUGGGGGGUCUUGGCGCCCCGACCUUCGGGGGCUGAUUUUUGGGCGCGGGUGUGCCCGUGGCCUAUUUUUGGCAUACGGAGGCCGCCCGCAAAGUCUGGGGCCAUUCCGAGUCCGGCGGACGAACUUCGCCCACGCCCCCCACCAAGGCUAUAGCCCACCCGUUUUUUGGCCAUUUUUCCGCUGGGGGGUCUUGGCUCCCCGACCUUCGGGGGCUGAUUUUUGGGCGCGGGUGUGCCCGUGGCCUAUUUUUGGCACACGGAGGCCGCCCGCAAAGUCUGGGGCCAUUCCGAGUCCGGCGGACGAACUUCGCCCACGCCCCCCACCAAGGCUAUAGCCCACCCGUUUUUUGGCCAUUUUUCCGCUGGGGGGUCUUGGCGCCCCGACCUUCGGGGGCUGAAUUUUGGGCGCGGGUGUGCCCGUGGCCUAUUUUUGGCACACGGAGGCCGCCCGCAAAGUCUGGGGCCAUUCCGAGUCCGGCGGACGAACUUCGCCCACGCCCCCCACCAAGGCUAUAGCCCACCCGUUUUUUGGCCAUUUUUCCGCUGGGGGGACUUGGCUCCCCGACCUUCGGGGGCUGAUUUUUGGGCGCGGGUGUGCCCGUGGCCUAUUUUUGGCACACGGAGGCCGCCCGCAAAGUCUGGGGCCAUUCCGAGUCCGGCGGACGAACUUCGCCCACGCCCCCCACCAAGGCUAUAGCCCACCCGUUUUUUGGCCAUUUUUCCGCUGGGGGGUCUUGGCGCCCCGACCUUCGGGGGCUGAAUUUUGGGCGCGGGUGUGCCCGUGGCCUAUUUUUGGCACACGGAGGCCGCCCGCAAAGUCUGGGGCCAUUCCGAGUCCGGCGGACGAACUUCGCCCACGCCCCCCACCAAGGCUAUAGCCCACCCGUUUUUUGGCCAUUUUUCCGCUGGGGGGUCUUGGCGCCCCGACCUUCGGGGGCUGAAUUUUGGGCGCGGGUGUGCCCGUGGCCUAUUUUUGGCACACGGAGGCCGCCCGCAAAGUCUGGGGCCAUUCCGAGUCCGGCGGACGAACUUCGCCCACGCCCCCCACCAAGGCUAUAGCCCACCCGUUUUUUGGCCAUUUUUCCGCUGGGGGGUCUUGGCGCCCCGACCUUCGGGGGCUGAAUUUUGGGCGCGGGUGUGUCCGUGGCCUAUUUUUGGCACACGGAGGCCGCCCGCAAAGUCUGGGGCCAUUCCGAGUCCGGCGGACGAACUUCGCCCACGCCCCCCACCAAGGCUAUAGCCCACCCGUUUUUUGGCCAUUUUUCCGCUGGGGGGUCUUGGCGCCCCGACCUUCGGGGGCUGAAUUUUGGGCGCGGGUGUGCCCGUGGCCUAUUUUUGGCACACGGAGGCCGCCCGCAAAGUCUGGGGCCAUUCCGAGUCCGGCGGACGAGCUUCGCCCACACCCCCCACCAAGGCUAUAGCCCACCCGUUUUUUGGCCAUUUUUCCGCUGGGGGGUCUUGGCGCCCCGACCUUCGGGGGCUGAAUUUUGGGCGCGGGUGUGCCCGUGGCCUAUUUUUGGCACACGGAGGCCGCCCGCAAAGUCUGGGGCCAUUCCGAGUCCGGCGGACGAACUUCGCCCACGCCCCCCACCAAGGCUAUAGCCCACCCGUUUUUUGGCCAUUUUUCCGCUGGGGGGUCUUGGCGCCCCGACCUUCGGGGGCUGAUUUUUGGGCGCGGGUGUGCCCGUGGCCUAUUUUUGGCACACGGAGGCCGCCCGCAAAGUCUGGGGCCAUUCCGAGUCCGGCGGACGAACUUCGCCCACGCCCCCCACCAAGGCUAUAGCCCACCCGUUUUUUGGCCAUUUUUCCGCUGGGGGGUCUUGGCGCCCCGACCUUCGGGGGCUGAAUUUUGGGCGCGGGUGUGCCCGUGGCCUAUUUUUGGCACACGGAGGCCGCCCGCAAAGUCUGGGGCCAUUCCGAGUCCGGCGGACGAACUUCGCCCACGCCCCCCACCAAGGCUAUAGCCCACCCGUUUUUUGGCCAUUUUUCCGCUGGGGGGUCUUGGCGCCCCGACCUUCGGGGGCUGAAUUUUGGGCGCGGGUGUGCCCGUGGCCUAUUUUUGGCACACGGAGGCCGCCCGCAAAGUCUGGGGCCAUUCCGAGUCCGGCGGACGAACUUCGCCCACGCCCACCACCAAGGCUAUAGCCCACCCGUUUUUUGGCCAUUUUUCCGCUGGGGGGUCUUGGCGCCCCGACCUUCGGGGGCUGAAUUUUGGGCGCGGGUGUGCCCGUGGCCUAUUUUUGGCACACGGAGGCCGCCCGCAAAGUCUGGGGCCAUUCCGAGUCCGGCGGACGAGCUUCGCCCACGCCCCCCACCAAGGCUAUAGCCCACCCGUUUUUUGGCCAUUUUUCCGCUGGGGGGUCUUGGCGCCCCGACCUUCGGGGGCUUAAUUUUGGGCGCGGGUGUGCCCGUGGCCUAUUUUUGGCACACGGAGGGCGCCCGCAAAGUCUGGGGCCAUUCCGAGUCCGGCGGACGAACUUCGCCCACGUCCCCCACCAAGGCUAUAGCCCACCCAUUUUUUGGCCAUUUUUCCGCUGGGGGGUCUUGGCGCCCCGACCUUCGGGGGCUGAUUUUUGGGCGCGGGUGUGCCCGUGGCCUAUUUUUGGCACACGGAGGCCGCCCGCAAAGUCUGGGGCCAUUCCGAGUCCGGCGGACGAACUUCGCCCACGCCCCCCACCAAGGCUAUAGCCCACCCGUUUUUUGGCCAUUUUUCCGCUGGGGGGUCUUGGCGCCCCGACCUUCGGGGGCUGAUUUUUGGGCGCGGGUGUGCCCGUGGCCUAUUUUUGGCACACGGAGGCCGCCCGCAAAGUCUGGGGCCAUUCCGAGUCCGGCGGACGAACUUCGCCCACGCCCCCCACCAAGGCUAUAGCCCACCCGUUUUUUGGCCAUUUUUCCGCUGGGGGGUCUUGGCGCCCCGACCUUCGGGGGCUGAUUUUUGGGCGCGGGUGUGCCCGUGGCCUAUUUUUGGCACACGGAGGCCGCCCGCAAAGUCUGGGGCCAUUCCGAGUCCGGCGGACGAGCUACGCCCACGCCCCCCACCAAGGCUAUAGCCCACCCAUUUUUUGGCCAUUUUUCCGCUGGGGGGUCUUUGCGCCCCGACCUUCGGGGGCUGAAUUUUGGGCGCGGGUGUGCCCGUGGCCUAUUUUUGGCACACGGAGGCCGCCCGCAAAGUCUGGGGCCAUUCCGAGUCCGGCGGACGAACUUCGCCCACGCCCCCCACCAAGGCUAUAGCCCACCCGUUUUUUGGCCAUUUUUCCGCUGGGGGGUCUUGGCGCCCCGACCUUCGGGGGCUGAUUUUUGGGCGCGGGUGUGCCCGUGGCCUAUUUCGGGCACACGGAGGCCGCCCGCAAAGUCGGGGGCCAUUUCGAGUCCGGCGGACGAACUUCGCCCACGCCCCCCACCAAGGCUAUAGCCCACCCGUUUUUUGGCCAUUUUUCCGCUGGGGGGUCUUGGCGCCCCGACCUUCGGGGGCUGAAUUUUGGGCGCGGGUGUGCCCGUGGCCUAUUUUUGGCACACGGAGGCCGCCCGCAAAGUCUGGGGCCAUUCCGAGUCCGGCGGACGAACUUCGCCCACGCCCCCCACCAAGGCUAUAGCCCACCCGUUUUUUGGCCAUUUUUCCGCUGGGGGGUUUUGGCACCACGACCUUCGCGCGCUUAUUUCUGGGCGCGGCUUUGCCCGCGGCUUAUUUUUGGCACCCCGAGGCCCCUCGCAAAGUCUCGCCCCAUUCCGAGUCCGGCGGACGAACUUCGCCCGCGCCCCCCACCAAGGCUAUAGCCCACCCGUUUUUUGGCCAUUUUUCCGCUGGGGGGUUUUGGCACCACGACCUUCGCGCGCUUAUUUCUGGGCGCGGCUUUGCCCGCGGCUUAUUUUUGGCACCCCGAGGCCCCUCGCAAAGUCUCGCCGCAUUCCGAGUCCGGCGGACGAACGUCGCCCGCGCCCCCCACCAAGUCUAUAGCCCACCCGUUUUUUGGCCAUUUUUCCGCUCGGGGGUUUUGGCACCACGACCUUCGGGCGCUUAUUUUUGGGCGCGGCUUUGCCCGCGGCUUAUUUUUGGCACCCCGAGGCCCCUCGCAAAGUCUCGCCCCAUUCCGAGUCCGGCGGACGAACUUCGCCCGCGCCCCCCACCAAGGCUAUAGCCCACCCGUUUUUUGGCCAUUUUUCCGCUGGGGGGUCUUGGCGCCCCGACCUUCGGGGGCUGAUUUUUGGGCGCGGGUG
RNAcentral lists this long non-coding RNA (7994 nucleotides) under Citrus x clementina. RNAcentral's name for it is "Citrus clementina (C. clementina) long non-coding RNA (CCLE_LNC004797)". Lineage: Eukaryota; Viridiplantae; Streptophyta; Magnoliopsida; Sapindales; Rutaceae. The record is from RNAcentral.